UCGCCACCAUGCUUCCAGAUUUUGGGCAUUCUUUUUCACAUUGAUCGACUGUCGCAUAACACAAAUUUCUCGCAAGGCAACAGUAGGCAUCAAUGAACUUUUUGUAAGCGCACAACCCAUGUGGUAAAUUGAUCUUAUCAUUAUUGAUGCCGUCGGUGGUGAUUCGACCUAGGGAAUAACAAAUAAAUCAUUAUCAUUAGUAUGAAUUUGGAUAGAUCUACAAACAUGCACCAGAUUGGAAAAACGAAAAAAAAAAAAGCAGUCGUCAUGCACUAGCAAUACACCUAUUAAUAUUCAGCAGAAAUAAGAAAUUAUUACGCAUGGAUACGUAUUGUAAACACAGAUUAUCAAAAGUUGACAAAUAACAAUUGCAUAUCCCAUCCCUACUUACAUUGUGUAGUAGUAGCAAGGCAUAUGAGAAGAAGUAGAGCCUGCAGCAGGACUCUCGAAUGGAUGGGAGUCGUGUACUUGGCCAUCUAGAUAAUGUGAU
This 490-nucleotide long non-coding RNA is filed under the name Hordeum vulgare. Its description in RNAcentral is "long non-coding RNA (HVUL_LNC014517)". The record is from RNAcentral. Lineage: Eukaryota; Viridiplantae; Streptophyta; Magnoliopsida; Poales; Poaceae.